CCUACGGGGUGCAGCAGUGAGGAAUAUUGGUCAAUGGACGCAAGUCUGAACCAGCCAUGCCGCGUGCAGGAAGACGGCUCUAUGAGUGGUAAACUGCUUUUGUACGAGGGUAAACGCAGAUACGCGUAUCUGUCUGAAAGGAUGGUACGAAUAAGGAUCGGCUAACUCCGUGCCAGCAGCCGCGGUAAUACGGAGGAUUCAAGCGUUAUCCGGAUUUAUUUGGUUUAACGGGUGCGUAGGCGGUCGGAUAAGUUAGAGGUGAAAUCCCGAGGCUCAACUUCGGAAUUGCAUCUGAUACUGUUCGGCUAGAGAGUAGUUGCGGUAGGCGGAAUGUAAGGUGUAGCGGUGAAAUGCUUAGAGAUCAUACAGAACACCGAUGGCGAAGGCAGCUUACCAAGCUACUUCUGACGUUGAGGCACGAAAGCGUGGGGAGCAAACAGGAUUAGAUACCCUGGUAGUC
RNAcentral lists this ribosomal RNA (460 nucleotides) under uncultured bacterium. RNAcentral describes it as "partial 16S ribosomal RNA". It matches the Rfam family "Bacterial small subunit ribosomal RNA", at positions 338 to 795 of the family's 1533-position model. The record is from RNAcentral.